Molecule: ribosomal RNA, 490 nt
Filed under: Enterobacter hormaechei
Lineage: Bacteria; Pseudomonadati; Pseudomonadota; Gammaproteobacteria; Enterobacterales; Enterobacteriaceae
Also listed under: 3 other names
Description: partial 23S ribosomal RNA
Rfam family: Bacterial large subunit ribosomal RNA
Source: RNAcentral
UGCUGUGAACUCGAAGAGUAGGGCGGGACACGUGGUAUCCUGUCUGAAUAUGGGGGGACCAUCCUCCAAGGCUAAAUACUCCUGACUGACCGAUAGUGAACCAGUACCGUGAGGGAAAGGCGAAAAGAACCCCGGCGAGGGGAGUGAAAAAGAACCUGAAACCGUGUACGUACAAGCAGUGGGAGCCUCUUUAUGGGGUGACUGCGUACCUUUUGUAUAAUGGGUCAGCGACUUAUAUUCUGUAGCAAGGUUAACCGUAUAGGGGAGCCGAAGGGAAACCGAGUCUUAACUGGGCGUUAAGUUGCAGGGUAUAGACCCGAAACCCGGUGAUCUAGCCAUGGGCAGGUUGAAGGUUGGGUAACACUAACUGGAGGACCGAACCGACUAAUGUUGAAAAAUUAGCGGAUGACCUGUGGCUGGGGGUGAAAGGCCAAUCAAACCGGGAGAUAGCUGGUUCUCCCCGAAAGCUAUUUAGGUAGCGCCUCGUGAA